UGCUGAAUUUUGGCCAAUGGGCGCAUGCCUGAUCCAGCCAUGCCGCGUGAGUGAUGAAGGCCUUAGGGUUGUAAAGCUCUUUUGCCGGGGACGAUAAUGACGGUACCCGGAGAAUAAGUCCCGGCUAACUUCGUGCCAGCAGCCGCGGUAAUACGAAGGGGACUAGCGUUGUUCGGAAUCACUGGGCGUAAAGCGCACGUAGGCGGAUAUGUCAGUCAGGGGUGAAAUCCCGGGGCUCAACCUCGGAACUGCCCUUGAUACAGCAUGUCUUGAGUCCGAUAGAGGUGGGUGGAAUGCCUAGUGUAGAGGUGAAAUUCGGAGAUAUUAUGAAGAACACCCGUGGCGAAGGCGGCCCAAUGGAUCGGUACUGACGCUGACGUGCGAAAGCGGGGGGAGAAAACA
RNAcentral lists this ribosomal RNA (402 nucleotides) under uncultured bacterium. RNAcentral describes it as "bacterial SSU rRNA". It matches the Rfam family "Bacterial small subunit ribosomal RNA", at positions 355 to 774 of the family's 1533-position model. The record is from RNAcentral.